Ostrinia nubilalis (European corn borer) is the source of this 251-nucleotide long non-coding RNA. RefSeq lists it as uncharacterized. The transcript has 3 exons. Lineage: Eukaryota; Metazoa; Arthropoda; Insecta; Lepidoptera; Crambidae. The record is from RefSeq and is a predicted model, not a curated record.
UUGCCAAUAGGACCGAAACCGAACAAGGAGCAGUAUCCAGUGUUCAAUGCUUUAGUCGAUCGAGUGAGAGAAGCAUUAAGCCUACCCGCAGACGAUUCAACAGACAAAACGGAUUCAAGUCGAUCGGAGCAAGAACCUACGCCUACUCCUCAAACAAGACCGCAGGAUCUUACUAAAAAGCUAUCUUCUGAAGGAACAAGGUCGCGGGGUGCUUCGCCCCGGAGGCUGGCACGCCAAGUGGCACAGACUGG